UGGGGAAUAUUGCACAAUGGAGGGAACUCUGAUGCAGCGACGCCGCGUGAGCGAUGAAGGAAUUCGUUUCGUAAAACUCUGUUCUAUGGGAAGAAAAGGACUGUACCAUAGGAGAAAGCUCCGGCUAAAUACGUGCCAGCAGCCGCGGUAAUACGUAUGGAGCGAGCGUUGUCCGGAAUUAUUGGGCGUAAAGGGUGCGCAGGCGGCUUUACAAGUUGGAUGUGAAAUAUUGUGGCUCAACCACAAACGUGCAUCCAAAACUGCAAAGCUUGAGUUAAGGAGAGGUAAGUGGAAUUCCUGGUGUAGCGGUGGAAUGCGUAGAUAUCAGGAGGAAUACCGGUGGCGAAGGCGACUUACUGGACUUAAACUGACGCUCAGGCACGAAAGCGUGGGGAGCAAACAGG
Molecule: ribosomal RNA, 404 nt
Filed under: Fusobacteriota bacterium
Lineage: Bacteria; Fusobacteriati; Fusobacteriota
Description: Fusobacteria bacterium partial 16S ribosomal RNA
Rfam family: Bacterial small subunit ribosomal RNA
Source: RNAcentral